AGUCCGGAAAUUCAAAGUUGUUGCGGUUUAAGCUCCUCGUGCAGUUUGUGGCUGUUCAUGCCUCUCCCCCUGCUCCCAUGACUCCUGCAUCUGAUGCUGGCAAGCUUGAUCGUCUUUAGGGGAUGGCUAUCCAAGUGUCAAUUUAACAUCAUAAAAAAUCAGUGUGACAGGGGGUUUGACCGGAAUGCAUUAGCCUGGAAUUGUAGAAUAUGACUGAAGUCGAUUUAUUGGUUUGAGGCUUUUAUAAUGAUUAAUAGGAACAGUCGGGGGGUUUGGUACUUGGCAGUCACAGGUGAAAUUCGAGGAUUUGUCAAAGACUAACAAAUGCCAACGCAUUUGCCAAGGAUGUUUUCAUUAAUCAAGAAUGACUUUAGGGGAUCAAAGACGAUCAGUUACCGUCCUUGUCAUAACUACAACUAUACCGACUCUGAUUCACAUGAUCAUAUAGUUCUUUGGGACCGUAGCAGAGAUCACAGCUUUUGGGUCCGGGGGAAAAUCUGGUCGCAAGGGGU
RNAcentral lists this ribosomal RNA (512 nucleotides) under Enterobacteriaceae bacterium endosymbiont of Haematopinus sp. RNAcentral describes it as "bacterial SSU rRNA". It matches the Rfam family "Eukaryotic small subunit ribosomal RNA", at positions 587 to 1139 of the family's 1831-position model. The record is from RNAcentral. Lineage: Bacteria; Pseudomonadati; Pseudomonadota; Gammaproteobacteria; Enterobacterales; Enterobacteriaceae.